RNAcentral lists this ribosomal RNA (419 nucleotides) under uncultured bacterium. RNAcentral's name for it is "bacterial LSU rRNA". It matches the Rfam family "Bacterial large subunit ribosomal RNA", at positions 395 to 819 of the family's 2925-position model. The record is from RNAcentral.
CUUAUGAGAACACCUGAGUACCGCGAGACACGUGAAACCUCGCGGGAACCUGGGAGGACCAUCUCCCAAGGCUAAAUACUAUCCGACGACCGAUAGCGCACCAGUACCGUGAGGGAAAGGUGAAAAGAACCCCUGCUAGGGGAGUGAAAUAGAACCUGAAACCGUGUGCCUACAAGCAGUGGGAGCUCCAAAAGAGUGACCGCGUGCCUUUUGCAUAAUGAGUCAGCGACUUACUCACUGCAGCAAGGUUAAGCAGUUAUGCGUAGCCACAGUGAAAGCAAGCCUGAAUAGGGCAUGAGUUGCAGAGAGUAGACCCGAAGCCAGGUGAUCUACCCAUGGUCAGGAUGAAGCGAGGGUAAAACCUCGUGAAGGUCCGAACUCACUAACGUUGAAAAGUUAGGGGAUGAACUGUGGGUCGG